This 153-nucleotide ribosomal RNA is filed under the name Triticum aestivum (bread wheat). RNAcentral's name for it is "partial small subunit ribosomal RNA". The record is from RNAcentral. Lineage: Eukaryota; Viridiplantae; Streptophyta; Magnoliopsida; Poales; Poaceae.
AUGCCGGCGCUGGACGCGUGCGCGCUCUGCGCCAAGCGGCUGGCGCGCGACAGCGACGUCUUCAUGUACAGAGGGGACACACCCUUCUGUAGCAAGGAGUGCCGGCACGAGCAGUUGCAGCUCGACGCUGUCUCCGCCAGGCAGGCAGCCCGG